Molecule: long non-coding RNA, 632 nt
Filed under: Gallus gallus (chicken)
Lineage: Eukaryota; Metazoa; Chordata; Aves; Galliformes; Phasianidae
Source: RNAcentral
CGACGACGACGACGAGCGGUCUCCAGAACUGACCUGAGGUGUGGGGGGGCCGGGGUGCGUCGAGUUCGGGCUGAGGUGUGAGGGAAGAGAGACGGCCCGAGCUAGUGUGAUCAGUCUGCCUGCCUCUGUGAUCCCCCGCAGCACUGGCUGGAAGUCCGCCGCGUGUCAGUGAGGAGCUGCUGCAGAAGGAAGAAGAAGCGGCGUGGGGACCUGGGAGGCAGGAGCAAGCAAGAAGAGGAAGCGGAAGCGUGCAGAUGCGGGGGGGAAGGAGAGAGGCUCCCUGGGCAAAGCACCUGUCCCGUUAGCAGGGGCACAGUCACGUUUGAGUUGAGAGCUGCCGGCGCCUUUGGUGACCAGGCUGGCGUUGUGCUGGGCGACCUCCCCGUAAGCGGGGCUCGGGUCUUUGCUGUAGUUGGCCUUUUGCCUUGCUGCUCCUUUGGCUGCCUGGGGAGCGUGGCCCCCUGUAACGGAGGGCGAGAGCCACCUCUCCGCACCUGAGUGGGAAAUGGAGCUCGCCGGACCCCAAGGCCACCCUGUAAGCAGGGUAGUGCCGUUCCCUGCCCCUCUUCCUCCCCCGGCCCCUCGCAUCGUUGCCUGAUGGUGGCUUGUCAACGCGACGGCCCCGUACUCGG